Molecule: ribosomal RNA, 253 nt
Filed under: uncultured bacterium
Lineage: Bacteria
Description: partial 16S ribosomal RNA
Rfam family: Bacterial small subunit ribosomal RNA
Source: RNAcentral
UACAGAGGGUGCGAGCGUUGUCCGGAAUCACUGGGCGUAAAGGGCGCGUAGGUGGCGACCCAAGUCGAUGGUGAAAGCUCGCCGCUCAACGGCGAGUCGGCCACCGAUACUGGGUUGCUUGAGCACUGUAGAGGCUAAUGGAAUUCCGGGUGUAGCGGUGGAAUGCGUAGAGAUCCGGAAGAACACCGGUGGCGAAGGCGGCCCGCUGGGCAACUGCUGACACUGAGGCGCGACAGCGUGGGGAGCAAACAGG